Molecule: small RNA, 33 nt
Filed under: Xyrichtys novacula (pearly razorfish)
Lineage: Eukaryota; Metazoa; Chordata; Actinopteri; Labriformes; Labridae
Source: RNAcentral
UGAGUUCAGAGGGGGAGAACAAGACCCACAGAC